UUGUCUAUUUUUCUCGUCCAGAAUCCACCGGCGGUGGCACAAGUACAGUCCAGCAAAUACCCAGUCACCGGAAACCCUAAGUUUUACUGGAAUCACUCAGAUUGGGACCUAACUCACACCCAAGAAACCCCAACUCACAGGUUUGAACUCUCUCCUGUUUCUCUCACCUAUAGUAGAUCACAAGUGUUCACAUUAGAACCAGAAAGAGAGAUUCAAACUCGAGUGUUUUUCUCACACUUCCCUCUCUCUCUUUGCACGUUUGAUACAUAGAUGCAUAAAGCUGAUUUUCUCUAAAGCAGAGAAUAAGAAAGGAAUUGCCAUCGUUCGGUUAAACGAUUAUAUCGCCGGAAAAUGCCAAGGGGCAUUAAUUGCAGUAGUACGAUUGGUAUUAGGGAGAGAGAGG
This 403-nucleotide long non-coding RNA is filed under the name Erythranthe guttata (spotted monkey flower). RNAcentral describes it as "long non-coding RNA (EGUT_LNC002220)". The record is from RNAcentral. Lineage: Eukaryota; Viridiplantae; Streptophyta; Magnoliopsida; Lamiales; Phrymaceae.